RNAcentral lists this ribosomal RNA (1488 nucleotides) under uncultured bacterium. Its description in RNAcentral is "bacterial SSU rRNA". It matches the Rfam family "Bacterial small subunit ribosomal RNA". The record is from RNAcentral.
GGUUUGAUUAUGGCUCAGGAUGAACGCUAGCUACAGGCUUAACACAUGCAAGUCGAGGGGCAGCAUUUUAGUUUGCUUGCAAACUAAAGAUGGCGACCGGCGCACGGGUGAGUAACACGUAUCCAACCUGCCGAUAACUCGGGGAUAGCCUUUCGAAAGAAAGAUUAAUAUCCGAUAGUAUAUUAAAACCGCAUGGUUUUACUAUUAAAGAAUUUCGGUUAUCGAUGGGGAUGCGUUCCAUUAGUUUGUUGGCGGGGUAACGGCCCACCAAGACUACGAUGGAUAGGGGUUCUGAGAGGAAGGUCCCCCACAUUGGAACUGAGACACGGUCCAAACUCCUACGGGAGGCAGCAGUGAGGAAUAUUGGUCAAUGGACGAGAGUCUGAACCAGCCAAGUAGCGUGAAGGAUGACUGCCCUAUGGGUUGUAAACUUCUUUUAUAUGGGAAUAAAGUAUUCCACGUGUGGGAUUUUGUAUGUACCAUAUGAAUAAGGAUCGGCUAACUCCGUGCCAGCAGCCGCGGUAAUACGGAGGAUCCGAGCGUUAUCCGGAUUUAUUGGGUUUAAAGGGAGCGUAGGUGGAUUGUUAAGUCAGUUGUGAAAGUUUGCGGCUCAACCGUAAAAUUGCAGUUGAAACUGGCAGUCUUGAGUACAGUAGAGGUGGGCGGAAUUCGUGGUGUAGCGGUGAAAUGCUUAGAUAUCACGAAGAACUCCGAUUGCGAAGGCAGCUCACUAGACUGCAACUGACACUGAUGCUCGAAAGUGUGGGUAUCAAACAGGAUUAGAUACCCUGGUAGUCCACACAGUAAACGAUGAAUACUCGCUGUUUGCGAUAUACAGUAAGCGGCCAAGCGAAAGCAUUAAGUAUUCCACCUGGGGAGUACGCCGGCAACGGUGAAACUCAAAGGAAUUGACGGGGGCCCGCACAAGCGGAGGAACAUGUGGUUUAAUUCGAUGAUACGCGAGGAACCUUACCCGGGCUUAAAUUGCAUUUGAAUAAUCUGGAAACAGGUUAGCCGCAAGGCAAAUGUGAAGGUGCUGCAUGGUUGUCGUCAGCUCGUGCCGUGAGGUGUCGGCUUAAGUGCCAUAACGAGCGCAACCCUUAUCUUUAGUUACUAACAGGUCAUGCUGAGGACUCUAGAGAGACUGCCGUCGUAAGAUGUGAGGAAGGUGGGGAUGACGUCAAAUCAGCACGGCCCUUACGUCCGGGGCUACACACGUGUUACAAUGGGGGGUACAGAAGGCAGCUACCUGGUGACAGGAUGCUAAUCCCAAAAACCUCUCUCAGUUCGGAUCGAAGUCUGCAACCCGACUUCGUGAAGCUGGAUUCGCUAGUAAUCGCGCAUCAGCCAUGGCGCGGUGAAUACGUUCCCGGGCCUUGUACACACCGCCCGUCAAGCCAUGAAAGCCGGGGGUACCUGAAGUACGUAACCGCAAGGAGCGUCCUAGGGUAAAACUGGUAAUUGGGGCUAAGUCGUAACAAGGUACCC